Molecule: long non-coding RNA, 711 nt
Filed under: Mus pahari (shrew mouse)
Lineage: Eukaryota; Metazoa; Chordata; Mammalia; Rodentia; Muridae
Description: predicted gene, 37062 (MGP_PahariEiJ_G0033029.1)
Source: RNAcentral
AUCUGUGGAUUUUCUUACUUUCAUUAUAAUUUUCUAUUUUCUAGAAUGCUUUUCCCAAUGAAGGUAUUCAAAACAAUUUCUUGUCUCCCUUUUUUCUAUACAAAUCUCCUAAUUUUAUCAGAGAAAUAAAAUGGGCAUUUUAAACUUCUAUGUUCACAUUCUUUUGUAAGAACAUUUACAGUUAUUUAAUGACAAGGAUUUGUGAUAAUGUAGUGUAUUGAGUGACCAGUACUGAUUUGAUGCUUUUUUUUUUAUAUUGCCUAGUCCAACCCCAAAGAACCGUGUCUUAGCCAAGCCUAUGGCAGUAAGAGUAUGUGCUGUACUUUAAAACACAACAUGAGUUCUACAUACAUAAGUACCACAUACUUGGAAGUAGAGCUUUAAUAACUUACUCUGCAUGGAUUUUACUGAGGAGGGACACAUGAAUCACUGUUUUCUAUUAGAGCCACCUCAGGCUUUGUUUGUUGUAUGACAGGUUAUCAUUGUGUAGCUCAAUUGGAUUGAAACUUUUUCUGUAUCCCAACCUGCCCUCAAACUCAAAAUCCAGUUUCUGCUACCAUCUAAGUGCUGCAAUCCCAGCAUGCAUCAUGCCUCUGGCAGACUUCUUUUGUGAUUUGUCCUUACUGGUUUAUAUUCUCUGAAACCAAUCUUGGCUUCAUGAGCAUCUUCCCAAGAACAGUAUGUGUUUCCCUCAGUUAUGGGGAAGCCUCC